Molecule: ribosomal RNA, 253 nt
Filed under: uncultured bacterium
Lineage: Bacteria
Description: partial 16S ribosomal RNA
Rfam family: Bacterial small subunit ribosomal RNA
Source: RNAcentral
GACGAACCGAGCGAACGUUGUUCGGAAUCACUGGGCUUAAAGGGCGCGUAGGCGGGUGGUUAAGUCCGUGGUGAAAUCCGGCAGCUCAACUGUCGAAUUGCCGCGGGUACUGACUGUCUCGAGGGAGGUAGGGGUGCGCGGAACUAAUGGUGGAGCGGUGAAAUGCGUUGAUAUCAUUAGGAACUCCGGUGGCGAAGGCGGCGCACUGGACCUCUUCUGACGCUGAGGCGCGAAAGCCAGGGGAGCAAACGGG